RNAcentral lists this ribosomal RNA (433 nucleotides) under Kocuria sp. R-23269. Its description in RNAcentral is "bacterial SSU rRNA". It matches the Rfam family "Bacterial small subunit ribosomal RNA", at positions 28 to 455 of the family's 1533-position model. The record is from RNAcentral. Lineage: Bacteria; Bacillati; Actinomycetota; Actinomycetes; Micrococcales; Micrococcaceae.
GACGAACGCUGGCGGCGUGCUUAACACAUGCAAGUCGAACGCUGAAGCUUGGUGCUUGCACUGGGUGGAUGAGUGGCGAACGGGUGAGUAAUACGUGAGUAACCUGCCCUUGACUCUGGGAUAAGCCUGGGAAACUGGGUCUAAUACUGGAUACGACAUGUCACCGCAUGGUGGUGUGUGGAAAGGGUUUUACUGGUUUUGGAUGGGCUCACGGCCUAUCAGCUUGUUGGUGGGGUAAUGGCUCACCAAGGCGACGACGGGUAGCCGGCCUGAGAGGGUGACCGGCCACACUGGGACUGAGACACGGCCCAGACUCCUACGGGAGGCAGCAGUGGGGAAUAUUGCACAAUGGGCGGAAGCCUGAUGCAGCGACGCCGCGUGAGGGAUGACGGCCUUCGGGUUGUAAACCUCUUUCAGCACGGAAGAAGCGAAA